Molecule: transfer RNA, 67 nt
Filed under: Cetonurus globiceps (globehead grenadier)
Lineage: Eukaryota; Metazoa; Chordata; Actinopteri; Gadiformes; Macrouridae
Description: tRNA-Glu
Rfam family: tRNA
About the family: Transfer RNA (tRNA) molecules are approximately 80 nucleotides in length.
Source: RNAcentral
GUUAUUGUAGUUGAACCAACGGUGGCUUUUCAAGUCAUUAGUCCUGGUUAAAGCCCAGGCGAGAAUU